Non-coding RNA from Camellia sinensis, 1649 nucleotides. Lineage: Eukaryota; Viridiplantae; Streptophyta; Magnoliopsida; Ericales; Theaceae. The record is from RefSeq and is a predicted model, not a curated record.
UUAUUGGUGUUUUUGCGAACUGGAACUCCAUUUAGCUUUGUAUUUUAAUGCUCUUUCGAGAUAGCUGGACAAUCUGGUAUGUAGAUAGCUGCUUCCAUGCUUAUUUGUCUUCCAAGAUGUACCAACAUGUGGUUUCGAUGUUCUUGUUUCUCUUUACUCUAAUUUAUGUGUAAAUUGUGCACACCAUAUGUUUGCUAAUAUGCCUAUGAAAAUAGAAAUAGAAAAUUCGCAGUUUUUUUUCCUUUACUUCAAAAUAUAUAUUAAAGUAAUCUGAUUGCAAAAAUACCCCCAGUUGGAUCGUGAGAUGUAGUUCUAAUGACCAUUGGAAAUUAUGCUCCCUUGAAGUUAUGUUUUGACAUUAUUUUCUGGUGAUGCUUAAUUUGCAUUUGUUUUGUUUUCUAUUCAAUUUGUGUUUUCCAUUUGACAUGUUAUUUUCUUGUUGUAAACAUUCUAAUAGUUCGUUUCCAAUUAUUAUUAUUUUUUUUCCUCAUUUUAUUUGGCAGGCUUUGGCCAAAACAUUGACAGUGGAUGAGCUAAGUUAUUUGAAGGAGCAGUUUGUGCUAUUGGAACCAAACAAAAGUGGCACCCUAAGCUUGGACAAUGUUAAAGCGGCCUUGAUGAAAAGUGCAACAGAUGCUAUGAAGGAGUCUCACAUCCUUGAAUUUCUUACAUCAGUAUGUGCUUUGAUUGUGAUGGUGGAUGUGCAAUCAACAAUUGUUUCCCCUAUGGUGUUCUAAUUUUUGGAGUGAAAUUGUUUUCUCUUCUUUUGUGACAGCAUGAAACGGUUUGAUUUCUAUAGCAUGUCUUCUUUGCUCUUCAAUGAUUGAAGUGGGUUUUCAAAAGGUCUCUACCUAGCUGCGGUGAAAAAAUGCAUAUUCCAAAAAAUAGAGAACGAGGUGUCAGGUUAGCGUUUCCUGUCAUACUUAUUGGUUCUAUUUGAUUGACAACAGUUACUUUUGAGUCUGUUAGUUGGUGUUUACUAAUGCAACAUUUAUGUGGUCUAUUUUGGUUAAGCAAUUUGCAAGAUCUUGUUACUGUUAGCUUUCUUUUGUUCAAUUGUUUUGAUCCUGAUCAAUCAAGACUGAUGUUAAUUAUUAAUAAUUGUGAGAUGGUGAAUUAAUUCAGUAUUUGUGAUCUAUCAUUUAUGAACCCUUUGAUGAUAAACAAAGGCCUUUUUUGUUCUUCUUUUAACUUGUCCAAUGCUAAUGUUUUUACAUUGUUUUGCCCUGCUUUCGAUUUCUAAAGCUUCAAGUGCCCUAAAAAAAUUGACCCUUUUUUCUUGAUGAUACUGCAAUUUACAUUGGAUAUUAAUGUGAUGGUUCCAUUUUUCUGAAAAACUCUUCUCUAAUUUGAUAUGAAUCUUUACUGCAUUUUGUGCGUGUGAGUGUCUUCAAAUUUUCAACUUGAGAAAAUGGUGAAUGCUACAACAAAUGAAUCCAUGGAUAAGAGAUGUAUUGAUUUCACAUUGCAUGGGCCUUUUAGCUGGCUGUAGUACAGAAAGUGAGCCAAAUUGGAUUGCCAUAUACUUAUGCUGCCAUAGAGAGCAUUAAUUAAAACUUCCUGUGAAAAUAACUUCAAGUUUUCUCUUUUUUGGGGUUUUUGUCUAUAUUUUUUCUAGAGAACAUUUGAGAGAUAUAUAUAAAAAAAAA